This 622-nucleotide ribosomal RNA is filed under the name uncultured bacterium. RNAcentral describes it as "bacterial SSU rRNA". It matches the Rfam family "Bacterial small subunit ribosomal RNA", at positions 338 to 1415 of the family's 1533-position model. The record is from RNAcentral.
CCUACGGGAGGCAGCAGUAGGGAAUAUUGGGCAAUGGAGGCAACUCUGACCCAGCCAUGCCGCGUGCAGGAUGAAGGCGUUAUGCGUUGUAAACUGCUUUUAUAUAGGAAGAAAGAGUUCUUGCGAGAACAGUUGACGGUACUAUAUGAAUAAGCACCGGCUAACUCCGUGCCAGCAGCCGCGGUAAUACGGAGGGUGCAAGCGUUGUCCGGAUUUAUUGGGUUUAAAGGGUGCGUAGGCGGUUUAUUAAGUCAGUGGUGAAAGACGGUCGCUCAACGAUUGCAGUGCCAUUGAUACUGGUAGACUUGAGUGAGAUUGAGGUAGCUGGAAUGGAUAGUGUAGCGGUGAAAUGCAUAGAUAUUAUCCAGAACACCAAUUGCGUAGGCAAGUUACUAAGUCUCAACUGACGCUGAGGCACGAAAGUGUGGGUAUCAAACAGGAUUAGAUACCCUGGUAGUCCACACUGUAAACGAUGAUAACUAACUGUUGGCUUUCGGGUCAGUGGUACAGAGAAAUCGUUAAGUUAUCCACCUGGGGAGUACGCCGGCAACGGUGAAAACUCAAAAGUAGUAGUAGACGGCGUAGAGACGACGACGACGGACGACGACGGAGGGGAGGUAGG